This is a long non-coding RNA of Labeo rohita (rohu), 352 nucleotides long. RefSeq lists it as uncharacterized. The transcript has 3 exons. The record is from RefSeq and is a predicted model, not a curated record. NCBI's taxonomy places the organism in Eukaryota, Metazoa, Chordata, Actinopteri, Cypriniformes, Cyprinidae.
GACGGGUCCAAACUACGUGGAGCGUGUCUCAAAUAAGAGUCCAAACACCUCUGCAAUGACUCAUCAAAUACCACCUAAAUGGAGAAAGAAUAAAAAAGAAACACUAUGAUAACUGCCUGGCUGCAUGCCAUAUAGAGUCGAACCUGACACCAGAACUUGUCAUGAGGUAAAGCCAGCAGCCACUCCAGAUCCUCUGAGAUGAACUGAGCAUUCUCCAGAAACUCCUCCACCAGCACAGGUGUGCCAUCUUCAGAUGUUUAACAGCUCCUGCUCAAGGCAUCACAUCUAUCUUCGUGGAUAUCCGGUUUACACGCACUGACGUCAUUUCAAAAUAAAAGUCGUUAGUUCUUCA